This 234-nucleotide unclassified non-coding RNA is filed under the name plant metagenome. RNAcentral's name for it is "partial contains small subunit ribosomal RNA and internal transcribed spacer 1". The stretch from base 1 to 46 matches the Rfam family "Eukaryotic small subunit ribosomal RNA", at positions 1786 to 1831 of the family's 1831-position model. The record is from RNAcentral.
AAGUCGUAACAAGGUUUCCGUAGGUGAACCUGCGGAAGGAUCAUUAUAGAGGUUUAUCCUUAUUUUGUGAAUUUUAUAUCUGGUGUGUAUGUUUUUCGUGAGAACGAGUGCGGAGCACGAGUUGACAUCAUUUUCGAAAAGCAAUGAGUUGAACCAUUCGUUCAACAGUACACAAUACAUAUGCACCAAACAUUUUAUACCAAAUUUCUGUCUGAAUAAAACGAAAUGAAAAAC